This 253-nucleotide ribosomal RNA is filed under the name uncultured bacterium. RNAcentral describes it as "partial 16S ribosomal RNA". It matches the Rfam family "Bacterial small subunit ribosomal RNA", at positions 524 to 776 of the family's 1533-position model. The record is from RNAcentral.
UACGUAGGUGGCAAGCGUUGUCCGGAUUUAUUGGGCGUAAAGCGAGCGCAGGCGGUUCCGUCAGUCUGAUGUGAAAGCCCCCGGCUCAACCGGGGAAGGUCAUUGGAAACUGGGGAACUUGAGUGCAGUAGAGGAGAGUGGAAUUCCAGGUGUAGCGGUGAAAUGCGUAGAUAUAUGGAGGAACACCAGUGGCGAAGGCGACUCUCUGGGCUGUAACUGACGCUGAGGCUCGAAAGCGUGGGGAGCAAACAGG